Molecule: long non-coding RNA, 1034 nt
Organism: Felis catus (domestic cat)
Lineage: Eukaryota; Metazoa; Chordata; Mammalia; Carnivora; Felidae
Exons: 3
Source: RefSeq, a predicted model, not a curated record
GCUUGGCUGAAUGAGAGAAAACGAGAAGAAUCCAUAGGACCAAAAACAGGCAAUUAUUUGUCCACAUUCCUGCAUUGAUAAUUUCUCCUCCGUCUUUAGGAAGAGCAGUUUUGGCCUUUUAUCGCUAAACCAAUGAGAAACAACAAAAUAGCCUCCAGUAUGGUGUUCACUUUGGGCCCUAACAUCUCCAGAGGAUAAGAUGCCACAAACUUGUACAACAGGUUCACAUAUGAUGCUUCAGCAGUGGGAAGAAUCUGAUAUUUGCACAAGCUCAUGGUUGUCAGGAUGUUCCAGUGCCAAGAAAACAUGAGCAUAAAGAAUGUGGUUUGAAGUCUGAAGACCUGAGCAGCUAGAUUGCCUUUAACUCCCUGGGAGAUCACAGCAAAGCCCCAUCACCUUAGAGACCUCAAUCUCACCUACCUACACAAUGAGGCUUUUGGAAUCGAUGCUCUUUAGGACUUUUUCUAGAUCUAGUAUUCUCAAUUUUUAAAAAAGAACUCCUAUUUCAUGAGGACACUUUAAAAAAGGACUCUAAUUGACUCCUAAUAAGAAGAUACUUGUUUUUGGAGGAGCAGUGGGUGUGCUCCAAACUUCCUGGUUAUAAUAAUCUAGGAAUAAAGACAUAGAAGACAAUCACCUGAUAAUCACAGCAUAGUAACAAAAUUACUGUUCAAUGGUUCCCAUAAGAGAAACAAUGAUAAUUUCAGUUUAUAAGUUGUGAUUCAUCUAAGGAGAUUCUGAAGAAAUACUUUUGUGAGCAAACCACUGACAGGUUAAUUAUGGGGCAGUUAUUGAGCCAUCACUAUAAAGCAUCCCCAUUCAAUAUAAUCAUGUCCCGUGACCCCACCAAAACAAUGACCCCAGCUACAGAGAAAAAGAGGGAAAAAUAGCCAAGACAUGAUAAAAGACAAUGGAAAAGAUCUGUGUUUCUGAAGUAAUAAAAUGCUCGAUAUUACAAGAUGACCCAACAUUUUUGACUGAAAUUUAACCACCAAAAGAAGUGCUUUUCAAAUCUUAGUGAGUAUUCAACAAAU